Gorilla gorilla gorilla (western lowland gorilla) is the source of this 934-nucleotide long non-coding RNA. RefSeq lists it as uncharacterized. Lineage: Eukaryota; Metazoa; Chordata; Mammalia; Primates; Hominidae. The record is from RefSeq and is a predicted model, not a curated record. The transcript has 3 exons.
CUGCAAUGAAAUAUACGUUUUGAAGAAGUUCCCUAUGAAAUGUCUUAUAAACUGUUUCUUCUGGCCAGGUUCUCGGGCUCACACCUGUAAUCUCAGCACUUUCAGUGACCAAGGAGAAAGGAUCAGGAUUAUGGCUUCUGUGACAAUGGCACUGAUGUGACUCCACCCAGCAUCCAUUGUUGUGAGAACUCUAUUUGGCAUAUCAUCAUUGUGGGCAUGAACAUAAUGGAGACUUUCUUAGGAUGCAAUGGUUAAUAUUCAACAUUAGUCAAAAUUUCUUCUAGUCCUACCCUUGGAGCUCUACUGGGUUGGAAAAUAUUUUCGGAGUUGCCCAAUAAGAAGUCCUCCCAUGAGAUUUGGAAGUCCGAAAAGGAUGACUCAAUAUUCUCCAUUGGUACCUAAGACAGACACAGGGACAGGGAUGAGGAAUAGAGAAACACCUGGAAAGACGCUGUAGGAAGCUGAGAGCAUCAGCACCCCCACCCCUAAGCUUCCAGACAGGACUGAGGACCACAUGGUUAGAAAACCCAUACUUCGGGUGAAGAUGCAUUCUGUUGCCUGAGGGAGCAUCAGAGAUUCCUGCUUCUAAUAUCAGCUUUCACGACUACUAUAUCCUUGGCUUUGAAAGGUUGUAGUGGGAAAAUUAAUCUUAGGAAUUUGGUCAUUCUUGUCAUACCCAACAGAGCAAAGAAACCAGUGGGGAAAGGCACUCAGGGUGCAAAAUAUUGUUUCUAGAAUGCAACUGAAAUAGGCCCUAUUAUCCCAUGGAACUAAUGUUUAUUCUUUUUUGUAUAAACAUAGAAAUUGACUCCCCCAGUCUUAAAACUCAAGAUAGUUACAUCUGUCUUAUCUGAGUUUUUUUUGUUUGUUUGUUUUUUCAGUAAACCAACGAACAGGCCUCCCAGAUACUAUCAAGGAGCUGAAACUUACAUAU